This 429-nucleotide ribosomal RNA is filed under the name Chloroflexota bacterium. Its description in RNAcentral is "Chloroflexi bacterium partial 16S ribosomal RNA". It matches the Rfam family "Bacterial small subunit ribosomal RNA", at positions 355 to 776 of the family's 1533-position model. Lineage: Bacteria; Bacillati; Chloroflexota. The record is from RNAcentral.
UGGGGAAUAUUGCACAAUGGGCGCAAGCCUGAUGCAGCCAUGCCGCGUGUGUGAAGAAGGCCUUCGGGUUGUAAAGUACUUUCAGUCGGGAGGAAGGUGUCAAGGUUAAUAACCUUGGCAAUUGACGUUACCGACAGAAGAAGCACCGGCUAACUCCGUGCCAGCAGCCGCGGUAAUACGGAGGGUGCAAGCGUUAAUCGGAAUUACUGGGCGUAAAGCGCACGCAGGCGGUUGAUUGAGUCAGAUGUGAAAUCCCCGGGCUUAACCCGGGAAUUGCAUCUGAUACUGGUCAGCUAGAGUCUUGUAGAGGGGGGUAGAAUUCCAUGUGUAGCGGUGAAAUGCGUAGAGAUGUGGAGGAAUACCGGUGGCGAGGGCGGCCCCCUGGACAAAGACUGACGCUCAGGUGCGAAAGCGUGGGGAGCAAACAGG